AUUGAACGCUGGCGGCAGGCCUAACACAUGCAAGUCGAGCGGAUGAAGGGAGCUUGCUCCUGGAUUCAGCGGCGGACGGGUGAGUAAUGCCUAGGAAUCUGCCUGGUAGUGGGGGAUAACGUCCGGAAACGGGCGCUAAUACCGCAUACGUCCUGAGGGAGAAAGUGGGGGAUCUUCGGACCUCACGCUAUCAGAUGAGCCUAGGUCGGAUUAGCUAGUUGGUGGGGUAAAGGCCUACCAAGGCGACGAUCCGUAACUGGUCUGAGAGGAUGCUCAGUCACACUGGAACUGAGACACGGUCCAGACUCCUACGGGAGGCAGCAGUGGGGAAUAUUGGACAAUGGGCGAAAGCCUGAUCCAGCCAUGCCGCGUGUGUGAAGAAGGUCUUCGGAUUGUAAAGCACUUUAAGUUGGGAGGAAGGGCAGUAAGUUAAUACCUUGCUGCUUUGACGUUACCAACAGAAUAAGCACCGGCUAACUUCGUG
RNAcentral lists this ribosomal RNA (484 nucleotides) under uncultured bacterium. RNAcentral's name for it is "partial 16S ribosomal RNA". It matches the Rfam family "Bacterial small subunit ribosomal RNA", at positions 30 to 507 of the family's 1533-position model. The record is from RNAcentral.